RNAcentral lists this ribosomal RNA (880 nucleotides) under Neoleptoneta sp. undet. JL-2011. Its description in RNAcentral is "eukaryotic LSU rRNA". The stretch from base 561 to 880 matches the Rfam family "Eukaryotic large subunit ribosomal RNA", at positions 665 to 921 of the family's 3401-position model. The record is from RNAcentral. Lineage: Eukaryota; Metazoa; Arthropoda; Arachnida; Araneae; Leptonetidae.
GAAACGGAUGGGCGCUCGAAGUCCCGAGGCGGCGGGAUUCAGUCGGUCCGUCCCACCGCCCGAGGGGAGAGAAGGGGCACCGGCGCGGACCGAGCAGAACACGGACCCCUGCAGACGCGGGGGCCGGGUCCGCGUCCGGAGAUUCGGAGAGACGCCUCACGGACCCGACGCACUUCCCGUCGCCCGAACGGACGCCGCAGCCGGUCGGGCGAAGACACGAGUCGGCCGAGAGGACGGGCGACAGGUGGCUCGCCGGACGGAGACCUCGCUCUCCGACCGGUCCGUGGCCCGCCCAUGGUUUCCGAGGCGCGACGCCCGACCGAGGCAGUUGUAUCUGUGCGUCCCCUCCCCGGGACGAACGGCCCCUGCAACCGGGGGAGUCGUCUCCGGAGGCGAGACGCGCGGCGGCGGGACGCGAGAGCCCGCGUCGUCUCGGACCGGAGUGCCGAGCGACGCCCGGGCCCGCGUCCUCGAGGUCGCCGACCGGUGCGUCCGGAGGGAGACCGCCAGGCUAGCGGCGAUAGAGGUCGGUUGCCCAUCCGACCCGUCUUGAAACACGGACCAAGGAGUCUGACGCGCGCGCGAGUCGCCGGGUCUUGAACAGGCCCGCGGGCGCAACGAAAGCGGAGGCCGCGAUCCCCCUUCUCCAAGGUGUCGGAGGGUCGCGAGCCGGGUCGGGAUCCCGGGUCCCCGGAGACUCGGGCGCACCGACGGCCCGCGCCGUCGACCGGACGAGAGUCCGGUGGCGCGUGGUCUGAGCGCGCGCGGCGGUACCCGAAAGAUGGCGAACUAUGCCGGGGCAGGACGAAGUCAGAGGAAACUCUGAUGGAGGUUCGAAGCGCUUCUGACGUGCAAAUCGAUUGCCAGACCUCGGUAUAGG